GCCCGGGUGGCGGAACAGGUAGACGCAAGGGACUUAAAAUCCCUUGGUGCGCAAGCGCCGUGCGGGUUCGAGUCCCGCCCCGGGCA
RNAcentral lists this transfer RNA (86 nucleotides) under Deltaproteobacteria bacterium. RNAcentral's name for it is "tRNA-Leu". It matches the Rfam family "tRNA". From Rfam's summary of the family: Transfer RNA (tRNA) molecules are approximately 80 nucleotides in length. Their secondary structure includes four short double-helical elements and three loops (D, anti-codon, and T loops). The record is from RNAcentral. Lineage: Bacteria; Pseudomonadati; Myxococcota; Myxococcia.